Molecule: long non-coding RNA, 213 nt
Filed under: Vitis vinifera (wine grape)
Lineage: Eukaryota; Viridiplantae; Streptophyta; Magnoliopsida; Vitales; Vitaceae
Description: long non-coding RNA (VVIN_LNC003562)
Source: RNAcentral
AAAUUAUAGACAAUUGUUAGGCCUGGUGCCACAUGUGAUGUUUAAAAAGCUGUUCACUAGUUGAAUGGAACCCAUCUUUAGGCAUGCUUUUUACUGAAUAAAAUAUAUGUUUGAAUAAUAAUUUGUCAUGCUUUAACAUAUAAUCUUCUUCUGAAUUCUAGCUGGAAAGUUGGAAUUAGCUUCAAAUAGCUUCACAUUAAUGGACAGAUUGCU